CAGCAGUCCUGUGCGCUCAUUAUGCUGAGCUGCAGUCUUGAAAAUUCAGUAGCUUCCUUGGUGUCUUGCUCUGCUUCCAUGGAAAUACCGGGCUGCAAAGAGUAUUUUUCUUUCCAGGCUGUGUUUUUUUCUGCUCCAUUGUCUAAGAAUGAGGCAGAGGGAGAAGCACUGAGCCUGAAUUCCAAGUUAGCUACUGCUUCUGUAAAAUUCCUAAAAGGAAACUCUGAAGGCAGUUGUUUGAAAAGAUGCUUCCACAGAACAAAGCUGCAUUUGAGAACAGGUCUGAGUUGUUCUGCAGUUUGCUUCAAAUAUUGAAGAUCGUGCCUUGAAUUUUAAAAUUUCUCGCAAACCUGGCCACAGCAAAAGAAACGGGUUAGAAGUAUCUGCAUUUGAAGAUUCCUAAAGCUUCGUCUUUUUUUUUACAUGGCUUAAGCAAACUACAGCCAGCAAAAGCUCACGCAAUACUUCUUGAAUGUAGUUCUGAAUGUUUGCUGUAACUGGCGUACUCAAAUGUAUAGCUCCAAGUGUCCUUUCUGCUUUUCAUGUACUCCUAAUGAAGAGCCUUAAAAGUUGUAGGCUUUAAUUUCUGCCAGUAGUCUUGGCUCACACGCAAUGUGAAAAUAUUCACGCCCAUAUUUUGAAGCACUGUUGUCUUGAUGUGUUUUCUCCAUAUGGUUGAAGAGGCUUAAAAUAAAACUACUAUAAAAACGCUCCCUACA
This 719-nucleotide long non-coding RNA is filed under the name Anser brachyrhynchus (Pink-footed goose). RNAcentral describes it as "lncRNA (ENSABRG00000021723.1)". Lineage: Eukaryota; Metazoa; Chordata; Aves; Anseriformes; Anatidae. The record is from RNAcentral.